UCAUAGAAUUUCUUUAAAUUCAUGAUGUCGUAAGGGAAAAUAAUGAUAAUACCUUACUAUGAGUGUCGUCCAAAUCUGGUGCCAGAAGACUCGGUAAGACCAGAGACGCAAACGUUAAUCAUCAUAAACAGGCGUAAAGGGUUUGUAGGCAGCUUUUAAAAAAUAAUUAAAGGAAAAUUAAUUGAAAGCUAGAAUCAAAAAGAGGUUAUAGUGUAUAACGCCUAGAGGAGGGCUGAUAUCCAUAGAUCCUAGGCAGAAUACUCAGGGCGAAGGCCACUCUCCACUAAUGAUUGACGCUGAGAAACGAAGGUUAGGGUAGGAAAUAGGAUUAGAUACCCCGGUACUCCUUUCUGUAAACGAUGAAUGGUAGUCAUUAGUUAAAUGAAAAUAAUUAGAGGCGAAGUUAACACAAUAACCAUUCCGCCUUGUGAGUACUACUGCAAAGUAGAAAACAAAAAAAUUAGUCGGUCUCGAAGCAAACGGAGUGAAGCAUGUUAUUUA
Molecule: ribosomal RNA, 501 nt
Filed under: Ganoderma mirabile
Lineage: Eukaryota; Fungi; Basidiomycota; Agaricomycetes; Polyporales; Polyporaceae
Description: SSU rRNA
Rfam family: Bacterial small subunit ribosomal RNA
Source: RNAcentral